This 426-nucleotide ribosomal RNA is filed under the name uncultured bacterium. Its description in RNAcentral is "bacterial SSU rRNA". It matches the Rfam family "Bacterial small subunit ribosomal RNA", at positions 355 to 772 of the family's 1533-position model. The record is from RNAcentral.
UGAGGAAUAUUGAGCAAUGGGCGCAAGCCUGAUCCAGCGACGCCGCGUGGGUGAUGAGGGCCUUCGGGUCGUAAAGCCCUGUGGGAAGGAAAGAAAACGUUGCGGGCGAAUAGGCCGCGACCUUGACGGUACCUUCUCAGAAAACACCGGCUAACUCUGUGCCAGCAGCCGCGGUAAGACAGAGGGUGCAAACGUUGCUCGGAAUUACUGGGCGUAAAGCGCGUGUAGGCGGGCUGGAAAGUCGGGCGUGAAAUCCCCAGGCUCAACCUGGGAACUGCACUCGAAACUCCCAGUCUAGAGUGGUGGAGAGGGAAGUGGAAUUCCUGGUGUAGAGGUGAAAUUCGUAGAUAUCAGGAGGAACACCAGUGGCGAAGGCGGCUUCCUGGACACCAACUGACGCUGAGACGCGAAAGCGUGGGGAGCAAA